RNAcentral lists this ribosomal RNA (356 nucleotides) under uncultured Anaerolineaceae bacterium. Its description in RNAcentral is "bacterial SSU rRNA". It matches the Rfam family "Bacterial small subunit ribosomal RNA", at positions 1008 to 1382 of the family's 1533-position model. The record is from RNAcentral. Lineage: Bacteria; Bacillati; Chloroflexota; Anaerolineae; Anaerolineales; Anaerolineaceae.
GGACCGACCUUCGGGAGCUUAUACAGGUGUUGCAUGGCUGUCGUCAGCUCGUGUCGUGAGAUGUUCGGUUAAGUCCGCUAACGAGCGCAACCCUCGCCGUAUGUUACAAGUGUCAUACGGGACUGCCGGUAAAAAGCCGGAGGAAGGUGAGGAUGAUGUCAAGUCAGCAUGACCUUUAUAUCCAGGGCUACACACACGCUACAAUGGUCUGUACAAUUGGUUGCCAAGCCGCGAGGCGGAGCCAAUCCGUAAAGCAGGCCUCAGUUCAGAUUGCAGUCUGCAACUCGACUGCAUGAAGCCGGAGUUGCUAGUAACCGCAGGUCAGCAAUACUGCGGUGAAUACGUUCCCGGGUCUU